RNAcentral lists this ribosomal RNA (405 nucleotides) under Triticum aestivum (bread wheat). RNAcentral's name for it is "partial small subunit ribosomal RNA". Lineage: Eukaryota; Viridiplantae; Streptophyta; Magnoliopsida; Poales; Poaceae. The record is from RNAcentral.
AUGUUUAAGUUUCCGGCUGCAUUGUCUGAGGAGUUAUCACAGAUUAUAAGGAAUUUUUUGUGGGGUGAUGAGGAGGAUAAGAGCAAGACUCAUCGACUGGCUUGGGAUCAAUUGACAAGUCCUAAAGCUGAGGGAGAGAUGGGAUUCCGAGAUCUCAAACUUUUUAAUCAAGCGCUGUUAGCGAAGCAGGCGUGGAGGUUGGUGGUCAACCCUGAUUCUCUGUGCGCCAAAGCGGUCAAGGCAAAAUAUUACCCACAGGGACUUAUCCUCGACAUUGUAUUUCCUCUGUCGGCCUCACUGCCUUGGCAAGCUCUUAUGCAUGGAUUGGAGUUGCUGAAAUUGGGAGUUAUUUGGAUAGUGCGUGAUGGCUCUAAUAUUAAUAUUUGGAGAGAUAACUGGCUCCCA